CAGUCGCCGCGGUAAAACGGAGGGAGCUAGCGUUGUUCGGAAUCACUGGGCGUAAAGCGCACGUAGGCGGCUAUUCAAGUCAGGGGUGAAAGCCCGGGGCUCAACCCCGGAACUGCCUUUGAAACUAGAUAGCUUGAAUCUUGGAGAGGCGAGUGGAAUUCCGAGUGUAGAGGUGAAAUUCGUAGAUAUUCGGAAGAACACCAGUGGCGAAGGCGACUCGCUGGACAAGUAUUGACGCUGAGGUGCGAAAGCGUGGGAGCAAACAGGAUUAGAUACCCCCGUAGUCCCUGUCUCUUAUACA
Molecule: ribosomal RNA, 301 nt
Filed under: uncultured bacterium
Lineage: Bacteria
Description: partial 16S ribosomal RNA
Rfam family: Bacterial small subunit ribosomal RNA
Source: RNAcentral